RNAcentral lists this ribosomal RNA (252 nucleotides) under uncultured bacterium. RNAcentral's name for it is "partial 16S ribosomal RNA". It matches the Rfam family "Bacterial small subunit ribosomal RNA", at positions 524 to 776 of the family's 1533-position model. The record is from RNAcentral.
UACGUAGGGGGCAAGCGUUGUCCGGAAUCAUUGGGCGUAAAGCGCGCGUAGGCGGCCCUGUAAGUCCGUUGUGAAAGUCAAAGGCUCAACCUUUGAAAGCCGAUGGAUACUGCAGGGCUAGAGUCCGGAAGAGGCGAGUGGAAUUCCUGGUGUAGCGGUGGAAUGCGCAGAUAUCAGGAGGAACACCAAUAGCGAAGGCAGCUCGCUGGGACGGUACUGACGCUAAGGCGCGAAAGCGUGGGAGCGAACCGG